AGUGAACGCUGGCGGUAGGCCUAACACAUGCAAGUCGAACGGCAGCACAGUAAGAGCUUGCUCUUACGGGUGGCGAGUGGCGGACGGGUGAGGAAUACAUCGGAAUCUACUUUUUCGUGGGGGAUAACGUAGGGAAACUUACGCUAAUACCGCAUACGACCUACGGGUGAAAGCAGGGGAUCUUCGGACCUUGCGCGAUUGAAUGAGCCGAUGUCGGAUUAGCUAGUUGGCGGGGUAAAGGCCCACCAAGGCGACGAUCCGUAGCUGGUCUGAGAGGAUGAUCAGCCACACUGGAACUGAGACACGGUCUAGACUCCUACGGGAGGCAGCAGUGGGGAAUAUUGGACAAUGGGCGCAAGCCUGAUCCAGCCAUACCGCGUGGGUGAAGAAGGCCUUCGGGUUGUAAAGCCCUUUUGUUGGGAAAGAAAAGCAGCGGGUUAAUACCCCGCUGUUCUGACGGUACCCAAAGAAUAAGCACCGGCUAACUUCGUG
This 492-nucleotide ribosomal RNA is filed under the name uncultured bacterium. RNAcentral describes it as "partial 16S ribosomal RNA". It matches the Rfam family "Bacterial small subunit ribosomal RNA", at positions 29 to 507 of the family's 1533-position model. The record is from RNAcentral.